AGAGUUUGAUCCUGGCUCAGGACGAACGCUGGCGGCGCGCCUAACACAUGCAAGUCGAACGAGCGAGAGAGAGCUUGCUUUCUCGAGCGAGUGGCGAACGGGUGAGUAACGCGUGAGGAACCUGCCUCAAAGAGGGGGACAACAGUUGGAAACGACUGCUAAUACCGCAUAAGCCCACGGGUCGGCAUCGACCAGAGGGAAAAGGAGCAAUCCGCUUUGAGAUGGCCUCGCGUCCGAUUAGCUAGUUGGUGAGGUAACGGCCCACCAAGGCGACGAUCGGUAGCCGGACUGAGAGGUUGAACGGCCACAUUGGGACUGAGACACGGCCCAGACUCCUACGGGAGGCAGCAGUGGGGAAUAUUGCACAAUGGGGGAAACCCUGAUGCAGCGACGCCGCGUGGAGGAAGAAGGUCUUCGGAUUGUAAACUCCUGUUGUUGGGGAAGAUAAUGACGGUACCCAACAAGGAAGUGACGGCUAACUACGUGCCAGCAGCCGCGGUAAAACGUAGGUCACAAGCGUUGUCCGGAAUUACUGGGUGUAAAGGGAGCGCAGGCGGGAAGACAAGUUGGAAGUGAAAUCUAUGGGCUCAACCCAUAAACUGCUUUCAAAACUGUUUUUCUUGAGUAGUGCAGAGGUAGGCGGAAUUCCCGGUGUAGCGGUGGAAUGCGUAGAUAUCGGGAUGAACACCAGUGGCGAAGGCGGCCUACUGGGCACCAACUGACGCUGAGGCUCGAAAGUGUGGGUAGCAAACAGGAUUAGAUACCCUGGUAGUCCACACCGUAAACGAUGAUUACUAGGUGUUGGAGGAUUGACCCCUUCAGUGCCGCAGUUAACACAAUAAGUAAUCCACCUGGGGAGUACGACCGCAAGGUUGAAACUCAAAGGAAUUGACGGGGGCCCGCACAAGCAGUGGAGUAUGUGGUUUAAUUCGACGCAACGCGAAGAACCUUACCAAGUCUUGACAUCCCUUGACAGACAUAGAAAUAUGUAUUCUCUUCGGAGCAAGGAGACAGGUGGUGCAUGGUUGUCGUCAGCUCGUGUCGUGAGAUGUUGGGUUAAGUCCCGCAACGAGCGCAACCCUUAUGGUCAGUUACUACGCAAGAGGACUCUGGCCAGACUGCCGUUGACAAAACGGAGGAAGGUGGGGAUGACGUCAAAUCAUCAUGCCCUUUAUGACUUGGGCUACACACGUACUACAAUGGCGUUAAACAAAGAGAAGCAAGACCGCGAGGUGGAGCAAAACUCAGAAACAACGUCCCAGUUCGGACUGCAGGCUGCAACUCGCCUGCACGAAGUCGGAAUUGCUAGUAAUCGUGGAUCAGCAUGCCACGGUGAAUACGUUCCCGGGCCUUGCACUCACCGCCCGUCA
This 1370-nucleotide ribosomal RNA is filed under the name uncultured bacterium. RNAcentral's name for it is "bacterial SSU rRNA". It matches the Rfam family "Bacterial small subunit ribosomal RNA". The record is from RNAcentral.